AUUCUGCUGACGAGUCCAAAACAAGACGAAACGCUCAUCGUGGAU
Molecule: non-coding RNA, 45 nt
Filed under: Schistosoma margrebowiei
Lineage: Eukaryota; Metazoa; Platyhelminthes; Trematoda; Strigeidida; Schistosomatidae
Source: RNAcentral